GAGGGAAACCGAGUCUUAACCGGGCGUUAAGUUGCAGGGUAUAGACCCGAAACCCGGUGAUCUAGCCAUGGGCAGGUUGAAGGUUGGGUAACACUAACUGGAGGACCGAACCGACUAAUGUUGAAAAAUUAGCGGAUGACCUGUGGCUGGGGGUGAAAGGCCAAUCAAACCGGGAGAUAGCUGGUUCUCCCCGAAAGCUAUUUAGGUAGCGCCUCGUGAAUUCAUCUCCGGGGGUAGAGCACUGUUUCGGCUAGGGGGCCAUCCCGGCUUACCAACCCGAUGCAAACUGCGAAUACCGGAGAAUGUUAUCACGGGAGACACACGGCGGGUGCUAACGUCCGUCGUGAAGAGGGAAACAACCCAGACCGCCAGCUAAGGUCCCAAAGUCAUGGUUAAGUGGGAAACGAUGUGGGAAGGCCCAGACAGCCAGGAUGUUGGCUUAGAAGCAGCCAUCAUUUAAAGAAAGCGUAAUAGCUCACUGGUCGAGUCGGCCUGCGCGGAAGAUGUAACGGGGCUAAACCAU
RNAcentral lists this ribosomal RNA (523 nucleotides) under Salmonella enterica. RNAcentral describes it as "partial 23S ribosomal RNA". It matches the Rfam family "Bacterial large subunit ribosomal RNA", at positions 668 to 1190 of the family's 2925-position model. Lineage: Bacteria; Pseudomonadati; Pseudomonadota; Gammaproteobacteria; Enterobacterales; Enterobacteriaceae. The record is from RNAcentral. RNAcentral also lists the same sequence under 1 other name.